RNAcentral lists this long non-coding RNA (1089 nucleotides) under Manacus vitellinus (golden-collared manakin). Its description in RNAcentral is "lncRNA (ENSMVIG00005002540.1)". Lineage: Eukaryota; Metazoa; Chordata; Aves; Passeriformes; Pipridae. The record is from RNAcentral.
AUGUUGCUGCCACGGGCCACUGGCUCCUCCAGGCAGGGUGGGAAGGCAAUCUGUCACUCUGUCCCCAUGAGAAGAGCCUCUCUGGGACAGCAGGGUGUCAGUAUGGGGAGGGCAAGACACAAGGCUCCCUCACAAGCCUCCAAGCUAAACACCCCAUAUGGAGCCAGGGGCACUGCCAGCGCUGCAGGGCCAGGCCUCAGCCGAAGGGAAGACUACCCCCAGCACAGUCCCCCCAGAAGUGCCAUGCCACUGGCUGCCGUCACUCCUGGGCAGCACAAGAAGGCAUGGCGAGGUGAGGGCAGGGGCAAGAGGCAAAGACAGUGGCAGCAAGUGCAGGCAGACGACAUGCUAAUCAUGCUCCUGUGUAGCAACAGGGCUGGCAGGGGCACAAGACGACAGGAGCAAUGGAAGCUCAGGGGCAGAAUGCACGUUAACAGAGACAAUGAACAAGGGCAACAGGAGAGAGAGAAGGACCUCAUGGAGCAGGACCCAUGUGCAUCUUCCUCAAAUGGCUGUGGGAGCCAGGGUGGCCAGCACAGGGUUCCUGUGCAUAGGCCACAGUGGAAGCGGCCUGAGAAGGCACACUGGUGGAGUCACAGCCGGAGGAGGAAUUGGAAACAGCAACAACAACUACAGUGCACCGAGCCCAGCCACCAAGACCAGGCAGGUGGGCAGAGCAGCAGUGGUCAAAAGGGAGUCCUGUUCUGGAAUGCGAAGAAGCGCUGCUGGGUCCCAACCUUGCGUGUGCCAGCAGCAACCUGGCGAGAGGCAAGAGCACGCCUCCGCCCCAUGAACGUGGCAGGACACCGCCCACCAGGGAUGUGCACACCCCACAACACCAGCCAGUACAUCAUGGACCAGCACGACCCAAUAGGUUGAAGGCACAUGAACAGAAGAGGAAAAGGAGAGCACAUAGCCUGCCCAUCAAGAUUGCAAGUGCCAAGACGAUAUCUACUGUAAAACCUAAACUGGAGUGGCAGCACAAGGAAAGUGUCUGUCUCAUAAAAUCAUCAGCUAUUAAGAGCAAGGAAUCUCUUAAAAUUCAGCUUCCUAAAUAAAUAUAUAUAUGCACUUCUAACCUUGCUGGCU